Molecule: ribosomal RNA, 1290 nt
Filed under: uncultured Pedobacter sp.
Lineage: Bacteria; Pseudomonadati; Bacteroidota; Sphingobacteriia; Sphingobacteriales; Sphingobacteriaceae
Description: bacterial SSU rRNA
Rfam family: Bacterial small subunit ribosomal RNA
Source: RNAcentral
AAUUCGCCCUUAGAGUUUGAUCCUGGCUGAGGAUGAACGCUAGCGGCAGGCCUAAUACAUGCAAGUCGAACGAUAGUUGGGGCUUGCCCCAACGAAAAGUGGCGCACGGGUGCGUAACGCGUAUGCAACCUACCUUAAUCAGGGGGAUAGCCCGAAGAAAUUCGGAUUAACACCGCAUAAAAUCACAGUACAGCAUUGUACAAUGAUCAAAUAUUUAUAGGAUUAAGAUGGGCAUGCGUGACAUUAGUUAGUUGGCGGGGUAACGGCCCACCAAGACUACGAUGUCUAGGGGAUCUGAGAGGAUGACCCCCCACACUGGUACUGAGACACGGACCAGACUCCUACGGGAGGCAGCAGUAAGGAAUAUUGGUCAAUGGAGGCAACUCUGAACCAGCCAUGCCGCGUGCAGGAAGACAGCCCUCUGGGUCGUAAACUGCUUUUAUUCGGGAAUAAACCUUUUUACGUGUAAGAAGCUGAAUGUACCGAAGGAAUAAGGAUCGGCUAACUCCGUGCCAGCAGCCGCGGUAAUACGGAGGAUCCAAGCGUUAUCCGGAUUUAUUGGGUUUAAAGGGUGCGUAGGCGGCUUAUUAAGUCAGGGGUGAAAGACGGUGGCUCAACCAUCGCAGUGCCUUUGAUACUGAUGAGCUUGAAUACACUAGAGGUAGGCGGAAUGUGACAAGUAGCGGUGAAAUGCAUAGAUAUGUCACAGAACACCGAUUGCGAAGGCAGCUUACUAUGGUGUCAUUGACGCUGAGGCACGAAAGCGUGGGGAUCAAACAGGAUUAGAUACCCUGGUAGUCCACGCCCUAAACGAUGAAUACUCGCUGUUAGCGAUACACAGUUAGCGGCUAAGCGAAAGCGUUAAGUAUUCCACCUGGGGAGUACGCCCGCAAGGGUGAAACUCAAAGGAAUUGACGGGGGCCCGCACAAGCGGAGGAGCAUGUGGUUUAAUUCGAUGAUACGCGAGGAACCUUACCCGGGCUUGAAAGUUAGUGAAUUAUCCAGAGAUGGAUGUGUCCGCAAGGACACGAAACUAGGUGCUGCAUGGCUGUCGUCAGCUCGUGCCGUGAGGUGUUGGGUUAAGUCCCGCAACGAGCGCAACCCCUAUGUUUAGUUGCCAGCACGUCAAGGUGGGGACUCUAAACAGACUGCCUGUGCAAACAGAGAGGAAGGAGGGGACGACGUCAAGUCAUCAUGGCCCUUACGUCCGGGGCUACACACGUGCUACAAUGGAUGGUACAGAGGGCAGCAAGCUGGCAACAGCAAGCAAAUCUCAAAAAGCCAUUCACA